This 254-nucleotide ribosomal RNA is filed under the name uncultured bacterium. RNAcentral describes it as "partial 16S ribosomal RNA". It matches the Rfam family "Bacterial small subunit ribosomal RNA", at positions 524 to 776 of the family's 1533-position model. The record is from RNAcentral.
UACAGAGGAUGCAAGCGUUAUUCGGAAUCACUGGGCUUAAAGCGCGUGUAGGCGGGCGGGUACGUCGGCCACUGAAAGCCCCCGGCUCAACCGGGGAAGGGGUGCCGAAACGGCCGGCCUGGAGGGGCGUAGGGGGACCUGGAACUUCCGGUGGAGCGGUGAAAUGCGUUGAGAUCGGAAGGAACGCCCGUGGCGAAAGCGAGGUCCUGGACGCCAGCUGACGCUGAGACGCGAAAGCCAGGGGAGCGAACGGG